GACAAAAGCAAGUUCUACAGAGAGAGAUCACAUGGUGAGAGAGGCAGCAAGACGGAGACCAAAUUUGCUUUACAAAAUCAUAUCCUCUCAAGAACUAAUCUACCCUGGAAUAACAGCAUUAAUCCCUUCUGAGGAUGGAACUUCCGUGACCUAACAACCUGCACAAGGCUCACCUCUUACAGGCUCUCCCACUUCCACAUUGCCUCCCUGGGGAACAAGGUUCCAGCACAGGAGUCUUUAAGGAACACACUCUAACAACAUCCAAACCACAGCAAUUUGUAUAGCCAGCCUCUCAGCAUUCACUGAGUUCUUGAAGCUAAGAGUGCAAGCCAUCUAUAUGUGUUUGAAGUCCAGAUAUGCUGUUUGAAGUUGAGAUAUGCUGUCUCCAACUUUGCUGCAUCCUGGGCUGGAGGCAAAGGUAAUCCUUUAUGCAACAGAGUGCUUCAUGGCUCAAGAAUAUGGAUGCUGGUAAUUCACAUAUGCCACGGAGAAGCUGUGAAAUGUUUCCUUUAAAUGAAAAGACAUCCUGCUUUCAGAUGUCUGAUCAAAGGGCACUUAAAUAUCUGAUGGUUCAAAAGGACUAACUCUGAAGAAACUCUGACCCCAGGGAUUAUUCUACUCUGCCAUCCCUUGUUGAAAUCUCCUCAUCACUGUGUUGCUCAGGACUUUCUUUCUGACUUGUCCUGGACAAAAGAUGGUGCUGACAAAGGUGUUCAAACUUUGUCCUCAAAACAACUGUAUGCUGUUUUGCCAAAACAAACAGCCCUCCACUCUACAUGAACCUCCUGGACUUGAAUUUGUUCCUUCUCAGACCUAGAGACCCACUCUACCGCCUAACCAUAUCCAAACUCCCACUUCAGCUUCUCUGAUGGUGCCAUGUUGAAUACGGUCCACUGAGUUUCAUGGAUCCCCAUACACACACUGUUAGAAGACACCCUUCCUAGGACUCUGCUUGCCUGUGAUUCUUGCCUCAGUCUCUGAGCAUCAGACACCUUCCUACUAUGAUAGUUGCCCU
RNAcentral lists this long non-coding RNA (1015 nucleotides) under Heterocephalus glaber (naked mole-rat). RNAcentral describes it as "lncRNA (ENSHGLG00000026244.2)". The record is from RNAcentral. Lineage: Eukaryota; Metazoa; Chordata; Mammalia; Rodentia; Bathyergidae.